CUCCUAGUACGAGAGGACCGGAGUGGACGAACCUCUGGUGUACCGGUUGUCACGCCAGUGGCAUCGCCGGGUAGCUAUGUUCGGAAGAGAUAACCGCUGAAAGCAUCUAAGCGGGAAACUCGCCUUAAGAUGAGAUAUCCCUGGGGACUAGAUCCCCUUGAAGGGUCGUUCGAGACCAGGACGUUGAUAGGUCAGGUGUGUAAGCGCAGUAAUGCGUUCAGCUAACUGAUACUAAUUGCCCGUAAGGCUUGAUCCUAUAACG
Molecule: ribosomal RNA, 262 nt
Filed under: Burkholderia cenocepacia
Lineage: Bacteria; Pseudomonadati; Pseudomonadota; Betaproteobacteria; Burkholderiales; Burkholderiaceae
Description: partial 23S ribosomal RNA
Rfam family: Bacterial large subunit ribosomal RNA
Source: RNAcentral